ACGGGAGGCAGCAGUGAGGAAUAUUGGUCAAUGGAGGCAACUCUGAACCAGCCAUCUCGCGUGAAGGAAUACGGCCCUAUGGGUCUUAAACUUCUUUUAUAGGGGGAUAAAGUGAGGCAUGUAUGCCUUUUUGUAGGUACCCUAUGAAUAAGCAUCGGCUAACUCCGUGCCAGCAGCCGCGGUAAUACGGAGGAUGCGAGCGUUAUCCGGAUUUAUUGGGUUUAAAGGGUGCGCAGGCGGCACGUUAAGUCAGCGGUGAAAUGCAGGGGCUCAACCCCGGCACUGCCGUUGAAACUGGCGAGCUCGAGUACGGAUGAAGUCGGCGGAAUGUGAUGUGUAGCGGUGAAAUGCUUAGAUAUUACUCAGAACACCGAUUGCGAAGGCAUCUCACGAAUCCGACAUUGACGCUGAGGCACGAAAGCGUGGGGAUCAAACAGGAUUAGAUACCCUGGUA
This 454-nucleotide ribosomal RNA is filed under the name uncultured Parabacteroides sp. RNAcentral's name for it is "partial 16S ribosomal RNA". It matches the Rfam family "Bacterial small subunit ribosomal RNA", at positions 341 to 792 of the family's 1533-position model. Lineage: Bacteria; Pseudomonadati; Bacteroidota; Bacteroidia; Bacteroidales; Tannerellaceae. The record is from RNAcentral.